CCUACGGGUGGCAGCAGUGAGGAAUAUUGGUCAAUGGCCGCAGGGCUGAACCAGCCAAGUCGCGUGAGGGAUGACGGUCCUAUGGAUUGUAAACCUCUUUUGUCGGGGAGCAAAAGACGCCACGCGUGGCGUUCCGAGAGUACCCGAAGAAAAAGCAUCGGCUAACUCCGUGCCAGCAGCCGCGUUAAUACGGAGGAUGCGAGCGUUAUCCGGAUUUAUUGGGUUUAAAGGGUGCGCAGGCGGAAGAUCAAGUCAGCGGUAAAAGCGAGAGGCUCAACCUCUUCGAGCCGUUGAAAGUGGUUUUCUUGAGUGAGUGAGAGGUAUGCGGAAUGCGUGGUGUAGCGGUGAAAUGCAUAGAUAUCACGCAGAACUCCGGUUGCGAAGGCAGCAUACCGGCGCUCAACUGACGCUCAUGCACGAAAGUGUGGGUAGCGAACAGGAUUAGAUACCCGUGUAGUC
This 459-nucleotide ribosomal RNA is filed under the name uncultured bacterium. RNAcentral describes it as "partial 16S ribosomal RNA". It matches the Rfam family "Bacterial small subunit ribosomal RNA", at positions 338 to 795 of the family's 1533-position model. The record is from RNAcentral.